This 226-nucleotide long non-coding RNA is filed under the name Theobroma cacao (cacao). Its description in RNAcentral is "long non-coding RNA (TCAC_LNC006369)". The record is from RNAcentral. Lineage: Eukaryota; Viridiplantae; Streptophyta; Magnoliopsida; Malvales; Malvaceae.
UUGGCGAUACUUGAUCUGAGCCAUAUGCAGACUUGUUAUCUUGUAGUUAUUUACAUGCAAUUUUAACUCUAUGCUUAUUGCCAUGAAUGAAAAUAUGGAUUGGUUUCCAUUUCAGUUUGCUUCUUGCUCAUGAAAUUUCAGAAUGCUCGAUGCCACGCCUUUCCCCAAGUCUCAAUUUUGUCAUCUCAAAGGUUUAAAAAUAUUGUAAAACUCAAUGUAAUUCCAC